UACGAAGGGUGCAAGCGUUAAUCGGAAUUACUGGGCGUAAAGGGUGCGUAGGUGGUUUCUUAAGUCAGAGGUGAAAGGCUACGGCUCAACCGUAGUAAGCCUUUGAAACUGAGAAACUUGAGUGCAGGAGAGGAGAGUAGAAUUCCUAGUGUAGCGGUGAAAUGCGUAGAUAUUAGGAGGAAUACCAGUUGCGAAGGCGGCUCUCUGGACUGUAACUGACACUGAGGCACGAAAGCGUGGGGAGCAAACAGGAUUAGAUACCCUGGUAGUCCCU
Molecule: ribosomal RNA, 274 nt
Filed under: uncultured prokaryote
Description: partial 16S ribosomal RNA
Rfam family: Bacterial small subunit ribosomal RNA
Source: RNAcentral